RNAcentral lists this ribosomal RNA (460 nucleotides) under uncultured bacterium. RNAcentral's name for it is "partial 16S ribosomal RNA". It matches the Rfam family "Bacterial small subunit ribosomal RNA", at positions 338 to 795 of the family's 1533-position model. The record is from RNAcentral.
CCUACGGGUGGCAGCAGUGAGGAAUAUUGGUCAAUGGACGAGAGUCUGAACCAGCCAAGUAGCGUGCAGGAUGACUGCCCUAUGGGUUGUAAACUUCUUUUAUAUGGGAAUAAAAUGUUUCACGUGUGGGAUUUUGUAUGUACCAUAUGAAUAAGGAUCGGCUAACUCCGUGCCAGCAGCCGCGGUAAUACGGAGGAUCCGAGCGUUAUCCGGAUUUAUUGGGUUUAAAGGGAGCGUAGGUGGCUUGUUAAGUCAGUUGUGAAAGUUUGCGGCUCAACCGUAAAAUUGCAGUUGAAACUGGCAGUCUUGAGUACAGUAGAGGUGGGCGGAAUUCGUGGUGUAGCGGUGAAAUGCUUAGAUAUCACGAAGAACUCCGAUUGCGAAGGCAGUUCACUGGACUGCAACUGACACUGAGGCUCGAAAGUGUGGGUAUCAAACAGGAUUAGAUACCCUUGUAGUC